This 120-nucleotide ribosomal RNA is filed under the name uncultured bacterium. RNAcentral's name for it is "partial 16S ribosomal RNA". It matches the Rfam family "Bacterial small subunit ribosomal RNA", at positions 29 to 143 of the family's 1533-position model. The record is from RNAcentral.
AGUGAACGCUGGCGGCAGGCCUAACACAUGCAAGUCGAACGGCAGCGGGCAGUAGCAAUACUGUGCCGGCGAGUGGCGGACGGGUGAGGAAUACAUCGGAAUCUACCUUGUCGUGGGGGA